Molecule: non-coding RNA, 262 nt
Organism: Paramuricea clavata
Lineage: Eukaryota; Metazoa; Cnidaria; Anthozoa; Malacalcyonacea; Plexauridae
Source: the annotation of a GenBank genome assembly
UUCGUCCAUAUAAACACGCUAUCCUGCCUAAUUGGGAAACUCGCAUAAACAGGAUGAAAACGUCCCGUCUAGGCGGGAUCAUAUAAACAGGCCCUUAACGUUUUCUACCUGUUAUGAGUAUGAGACGAAAACCAUCCGAUGAGUCAACCCAAAAAUUCCUGAAAACCUUUUUUUGGUGUUCUUUCCCAAAUGUAUUCGUACCACAUUUACACAAUACCUUAAUAGAUUUAGGGGCCAACAUCGCAAAGCGACUGGUAUAGAG